RNAcentral lists this ribosomal RNA (250 nucleotides) under uncultured bacterium. RNAcentral's name for it is "partial 16S ribosomal RNA". It matches the Rfam family "Bacterial small subunit ribosomal RNA", at positions 524 to 773 of the family's 1533-position model. The record is from RNAcentral.
UACGAAGGGUGCUAGCGUUGUUCGGAAUCAUUGGGCGUAAAGCGUACGUAGGCGGUUUGGUAAGUCAGCUGUGAAAGCCCAGGGCUUAACUUUGGAAUUGCAGUUGAAACUAUCAAGCUAGAGUGUGGCGGGGGAUAGUGGAAUUCUUAGUGUAGGGGUGAAAUCCGUAGAUAUUAAGAGGAACACCGGUGGCGAAAGCGGCUAUCUACACCACAACUGACGCUAAUGUACGAAAGCAUGGGUAGCAAAC